GAGAAACAGCAAGGAAAGGGAAGGUGUCAGGAGUUGUUGGACUAUGAUUCCAGGGACUAAACUCUCAGGAUUCUGGUCUCUUCACCUCCCAAUGCUUGGCGGUCGGAUUUACCCUCGACCCUGGGAGCCUGCCCUUAGCCUACAGUCAAAUAGCUCCCUUUUUCCUUUGGACUAGUUUAAAUUGUGUCUCUGUCGCUUCCCGUUCAGAGGAAUACACACUCCAUUUGCCAGGCUCCCUUUGUGGAAUUCACCGGCUGGGAAGGUUGACCUGACCACUUGCUUUGUGAGCAUGAGGAAUGGAGGACACAAACCACACUCAAGAAGGUCUUCCUGAGUGCUGAAGGUCAAUCAACUAGAACUUUCUCAAGCUUUUAGAGGAGUGGAAUUCUGGAAACAAAACCUCUUCCCCGGGAGCGGCCGUCAGCAGUAGGUUCCUUUCCAGAGUCUCCUAUCUCAGCGGCAAGACUAAAAACUCAACGCAUCAUUCUAGCUGCUCGUUGUUGGGGAAUAUUAUUUUAAGAAUGCACCUGACUCUCACUUCAUGGGCGUCGUCACCCACGGUGCCUCUCUGCAUACCCUGCUUGAACCUGGCAGAGCCACUGCUAAUUAAACAUCACACCCCAGCUGAAGGCUCGAAGUAUUCCUGUCACUUGCUGUGAGCGCUGCCAAAGUCAUCAUCACAGCCUAAGCGCGGCUGACGGAGAGCAGUCUCUUAACUUCCAUGCCCUCCAUAUCCAGGUGUCUUUGUCCUGUUCCUAGAACACAACGCCGGCCUUUUCUGUGACCUUUGCUGAUUUAAAUCCCCCCCCUCCCCUGCCUUUUCCUCUGUCUGGAAACUUCUU
RNAcentral lists this long non-coding RNA (842 nucleotides) under Cricetulus griseus (Chinese hamster). RNAcentral describes it as "lncRNA (ENSCGRG00015037619.1)". The record is from RNAcentral. Lineage: Eukaryota; Metazoa; Chordata; Mammalia; Rodentia; Cricetidae.